CUUUGCCUAUGUGAGGUCUUAAAGGUUUUGACGGUACUGGCUGCUGGCAAAGCUGAGGUCACUGUGAAGUCGCAGGGCUAAGGAAAACUACUGCACGGAUCAUUGCAGUCUGACCGUGUUUCUGUUAAUG
This is a long non-coding RNA of Lagopus leucura (white-tailed ptarmigan), 130 nucleotides long. RefSeq lists it as uncharacterized. NCBI's taxonomy places the organism in Eukaryota, Metazoa, Chordata, Aves, Galliformes, Phasianidae. The record is from RefSeq and is a predicted model, not a curated record. The transcript has 3 exons.